This 63-nucleotide transfer RNA is filed under the name Symploca sp. SIO2B6. Its description in RNAcentral is "tRNA-Phe". It matches the Rfam family "tRNA", at positions 7 to 64 of the family's 71-position model. From Rfam's summary of the family: Transfer RNA (tRNA) molecules are approximately 80 nucleotides in length. Their secondary structure includes four short double-helical elements and three loops (D, anti-codon, and T loops). Further hydrogen bonds mediate the characteristic L-shaped molecular structure. tRNAs have two regions of fundamental functional importance: the anti-codon, which is responsible for specific mRNA codon recognition, and the 3' end, to which the tRNAs corresponding amino acid is attached (by aminoacyl-tRNA synthetases). tRNAs cope with the degeneracy of the genetic code in two manners: having more than one tRNA (with a specific anti-codon) for a particular amino acid; and 'wobble' base-pairing, i.e. permitting non-standard base-pairing at the 3rd anti-codon position. Lineage: Bacteria; Bacillati; Cyanobacteriota; Cyanophyceae; Coleofasciculales; Coleofasciculaceae. The record is from RNAcentral.
AAAGCCAAUUUGGAGAGCAGGGGACUGAAAAUCCCCGUGUCGGCGGUUCAAGUCCGCCUCCUG